Molecule: long non-coding RNA, 1697 nt
Filed under: Triticum aestivum (bread wheat)
Lineage: Eukaryota; Viridiplantae; Streptophyta; Magnoliopsida; Poales; Poaceae
Description: long non-coding RNA (TAES_LNC005429)
Source: RNAcentral
UGGAGAGAGAGCCUCUUUUCUCUUCUGCGUUUACCUUUCCUCCUCCUUUCGCUCUGAGACAAUCCUGUACAUGCUUCGUUCGGCCGGUCGCUCUCUCCCUCCUCUCCGCACUGCUGCGCCCUCUCCUCGACUCCUCGUCGACUCGUCUCGCCUGCUUCGACUCUCCUGCGCCAAGGUCUGUUGCGAUGGGCCUCCUUUGCUCGAUGGGCGCCCCUGGUUGAGGUUCGUAAUGGCCUUCUUCUCAUGUUCUUCACCUCUCUUUUUGCUUCACCUUACUAAUUUCACCUGCUUUGAUUAGUUUCAUUCGUGCGCAGUUUGGUUCGCCUUGCCAUUGUUGACUGCGUCGAGCCAUGGAUCCUUCUAUCCUUACCACUGAGGUUAGUACACGCCGCUUCUGCUUGCCCAUGAGAUGUUUGAUGAAAUGUGCAUGUGCUGCUCGAUGAAAUCCGUAUGUGCUAACGUUUGUUCUACAGUUCAGGCUGUUUUUCUCGUUUGUCCUGCUGCGUUGCUUGCGUGCUUCUCCUUCUAGCUCGGAUAAAUAGCUUGUUCUUUUACUUCUCUGACCGGCGAGUGUUUCUUGCUUGCGUGUGUGUCGUUGCAAGCCAUGGUUAUGCUCUGACCGUUUUUUUUUCUUUAUGCUUGGCAGGUUGUACGAUCUUGUCCGUUGCUGCAUCUCCUCUCCGUUUUGCUCGUUGUUGCAUUUGCGUCCUGCUCAUCAAGGAUUGCUGCUCUCCGCUCUGCCUGCCUUCGUGUUGUACUUCCUGUAUGUGCUAUCAUAUUGUCGCCUGUAAUUGUUUUAAUAUGUAUUUCGGAUAUGGCCGGCCGUCGUGUGCUGUUCGUUCUUGUGUUCAUUAUAUCCCGUGCUCGCGUGUGAGCAGGAUGUGUGCGUUUGUUUCAGUUAUUGUACCUAUUUUGGAGGCCGUGGUGGCUCGUUGCGUCUGUGGUCACUUUUGUAUUUAUGUGAGGUCGCAGAGGAUGGGUCUGUCCUUACUGGGGUAGUGCUCGAGCUUCCGAGGGAUGGUUCUGGUCCAGUGCUACGAAGGGAGUUCUUUUGGAGCUCCGCCUGGUGUUGUUUCAUGAACGCCUAUGAACAGGAUGCUCUACAUGCCAUACGUAAUUUACAAGGUCUAUACAUUGUGUGCUAAUGUUGACCAUUUACGGCAAGGGUUAGGCAAACAUUUUAUCCUGUAGAAUGUGUUACCAGUUCUUAGCACACGCCAGUUAUUUAUUUUGCGUUUUUAAUGCAUCGCAUGAUUUUUUUUAUAACAAGGCAUCCUCCAAAGCCAUUCCACGGAAGUGGCAAGAGGCAGUUCUCGACAAAUCGCUAUAAGGUGUUCUCUCUAUACCUGUUGAUUUUUCCUUCUCUCUGGUUUUGAUUUCCGAUAUACAGUUUAUAUAAACACCACAAUAUGCCAGAUAUGAAAGAGAAAAGCGACAGAAGAAUCCAAUGGAAGAAUUUGGUGAAGAACAAGGUGCCUCUCUCUCUCAUGUGAACACAGUAAGUUUAUUCCUGCAUUUUGAUGCUACGAUUCAUGCUAAUGUAAACAUGAGCUGUGCACCUGGUGCAGUGUUAGACUAAGUAUAUAGUAGAUAUACGUGUUGUAACAUAAUCUGUAUUUGUACGGUUCCCUCUUAUAAAUAUAUGACAGCCGUGCCCACCAAGGGCAUCGAGCAUUGUUCCAAACCCUAGUUUGUCU